Long non-coding RNA from Equus caballus (horse), 4231 nucleotides. Lineage: Eukaryota; Metazoa; Chordata; Mammalia; Perissodactyla; Equidae. The record is from Ensembl.
CUUUUUUUUUUUUUUUUUUUUUUUUGAGGAAGAUUAGCCCUGAGCUAACCGCUGCACCACUGGGCCGGCCCCAAACAUUUCCUUUCUUGAAAACUUUUUUCCCUAAAGAUAGUUACCUCAUUUUUUCAUUUGUGUAUUUUUCUUUGUGUCUGUGGAUAAUUACUUUCAAAUCCUUAAACAGCCUCACAGUGUGAUUAUUCACCUGGUCCAAACCUAUCAAGUUAAUUUUUUCAGGACAGUCUUCCUGACACCCGUCAUCCUUCUGCUUCAGGCUGUUUAGACCUGCCCCCCAGCUGGUGCCUUGGGAAUUUCAUUCGCCCCUGUCCUCUGUGUGGGAUUCUCUCUGUUUGCUGGGAAAUGUCUUCCUUUUUCUUGCUUUUCUUCUUUAUAUGGUGGAGAAUAACCCCUAGGAGCUUCCUGAGAAAGAAUAGAUGGGAGGUAAAAUGUUUGAGUUCUGGCAUGUCUGAAAAUAUUAUUUUACCUGAACCCUUGAGAGAGAGUUUGUCUGGGAAUAGAAUUCUUGCUGAGAAAUAUUUUUCAGAGGUUGGCAAAUCAUUAUCUCCUAGAUUCUCUUGAUAAAUUUAAUGUCAUUCUUUUUCCUGUACGUGACCUGUUUCUCUCUGUAAAAUUUUAGGAUCUUUGUUUCUGAUGUUCUCAAGUUUUUGACUGAUGUACUUGGUGAUCCCUUUCAAUCUGAGAUUCAAAUCCUAAGUCUUAUUUUAUUUUUUUUUUGAAAAGCCCCCCAGCUUUUUUUUUAGGAAAAUUAGCCCUGAGCUAACAUCUGCUGCCAAUCCUCCCCUUUUUGCUGAGGAAGACUGGCCCUGAGCUAACAUCCAUGCCCAUCUUCCUCUACUUUAUACGUGGGACGCCUACCACAGCAUGGCUUGCCAUGAAGUGCCAUGUCCGCACCCGGGAUCCGAACCAGCAAACCCCAGGCCGCCAAAGCGGAACAUGUGCACUUAACCACUGCACCACCGGGCUGGCCCCUUGUAGCUGUUUUAUAUGUAUUCAAUAUUUACUUAAAUUUAUUUGAAAAAAAAUUUUUAAGAAAAUCAGUGCUUUGGAAAACAGUCUAGCAGUUCCUCAAAAGGUUAAACAGCUACCAGAUGACCCAGCAAUCCACCCCUAGGUACAUACUCGAGAAAUAUAAAGAUAACAUCUGUACAAAAGCUUGUACAUGAAUGUUCACAGCAGCGUUAUUUAUAAUCGCCAAAACGUGGAAACAACCCAAAUGUCCAUCAGCCUAUGAGUGGAUAAAUCAAAAGUGUUACAUGCAUACAAUGGAGGAGUAUUUAGCCAUAAAAAGGAAUGCAAUAUUGAUACAUGCUACAACGUGGAUGAAGCUUGAAAAAUAGUAUGCUAAGAGAAAGAAGCCAGUCACAAAAGACCCCGUGUUGUGUGGUUCCAUUUAUGUGAAAUGUCUAGAAUAGGUCAAUAGAUAGAGACAAAAAGUACAUCAGUGGUUGCCUAGAGAUGGGGAGGUUGGGAGGAAAUUGGGAGUGACUGCUAAUGGGUAUGGAGUUUCAUUUUGGGGUGAUGAAAAUGUUCUAAAAUUGAUUAUGGUAAUGGUUGCACAACUCUGUGAGUAUCCUAAAAGCCAUUGAAUUGUGCAGGAUUACAUCCAUAAAUUAUAUCAAUAAAGCUGUUAUUAAAAAAAUCACUAUCAAUUGCCGUAAAUAGAAUGGAGAGUCAAAUGCAAUAUUAUUAAACACUAACUAGCUAUUUAUGUCUGCUUUCUCUGAUUGUAAAAAGAGAGGGUUCAAAAGUGUUAGAGAGCCGACACCAAAUAAAACUUUUCCCUUAAGUUACUCAGGAAUGAAAAAGAUUGAAAAGGGAAUAAUUUUUUCACCUGUGGUUCAGUGUUUCUCCUGACGUGUUUGUGAGCUGCUGUCAAACUGCGCACACCUGCAGUUCCCAUCCGACACUCGGGGCAAACGGAGGCGCAGUCCUUGAAGCCGGAGCACGGCACCGGGAGAAUGGCAUGUGCUCUCUCCAUUUAAGCAAUUCUUAUUAAGUGGCAUAAAACCAUUUCAGAUAUCAAUUUUGUACAUUGUCUGACAACAAACAAGCCUCUAAAACUGAUGUCAAUUCGGUUUAAGUAGUCUCUUAGAAACAGAGGGGAUAGUUUCUGGGAAGAACACUGCAUUGAAGUGGGGACUAGCUGCCUUGUGGUGAAACACUCCACCACAGAGUUCUCAGCGCCCCCAGCCUGUUCGGUUGCCAUUCCCCACUAUUAGACGUUCCUCAGUUCAUUUGUGACCUGUUCUCACCUUCUGAACAUUGUAGCUAGGGCACUGUGAGAGCAAAAGGAAGGGAAAUGAGAAUAGCAAGCCCCUUCUUCCGCACUUCAAUGAUUAAUUUGUGCUAGAUAACUUGCAAGAGUUUCAGCUGACCGUUCUCAAAAACUUCCUCAGUAACAUCAGGUAGAAUUGGAUCCCAAACCACCAGGGUUCCUAUUAGGAACGAAGGAGACUAUUAGGGAACAAAAAAGAUUGAUUGAUUCCAUGAGAAACAGUAGGACUUGAGGUUGGGACUCUUGCUGUGUGAUAAAAGGUUCUAUUCCUGCUGCAAUAAGUCUAAAUUGUGUUAAGUGUUGCAACACUUAAUUAAAAGGGCGGUCUUUUAAUUACUAGGGUAAAAAGGUGGAGGUGGCUAGGUGUGUUGAAAACAACUUUAAAUAUUGUCCUGGCAUCUGUCUGUCAAAACAGAGACACCACAAAAAGGGCAGGAAACAAGAGACAGCUUUCAUUUGACCAAAUGUGUGUAUUGGUAGAAUUACGUCUACUGUUCAGCAGACAACUGCCAUCUUAUAUGGAGCAUCCAGUGUGUGCCAAGCAUGUAGUGGGCAUUCUGUAUGAACAAGUUAGUAAAUGAAUGAAUGCAAGAAAAUUCUUUCCUGGCCACUAUAAAGAGAGAGCAAGCACUCCAAAGCAUUUGCUUCUAAGGAAUUCCAACCCAAAAGAUAGGUCACAUGUAUGUACAUUUAAAAAUUCAUGUAUAGGGGCCGGUCCCGUGGCAGAGUGGUUAAGUUCACAUGCUCUGCUGUGGCGGCCCAGGGUUUCACUGGUUCGGAUCCUGGGUGCGGACAUGGCACCACUCGUAGGGCCAUGCUGGGGCGGCGUCCCGUGUCCCAUGUGCUGUGAUUGGAAGGACCCACAACUAAGGUAUACAACCAUGUACUGGGGGGGUUGGGGGAGAAAAGGCAGAAAGAAAAGAAAAGAGAAGAUUGGCAACAGUUGUUAGCUCAGGUGCCAAUCUUUGAAAAAAAUUUCAUGUAUAAAUAAUUGUCAUAGAGAAACAAGGCCUAUGCAACAUGUGUAUUUAUCUCCACUUCCUCCCAAGACUCAGCCAAAACAAUAGUAGUGUAUAACUCCACAAAGACAAAGAGGACUGGAGAGGGAACAGAAGAACCACGUCAAACAGUUUUCGGAGAUAGAAAGGAAUAGGGGAAGAGGUGACUCAGAGAAGAGGAAGUUGAAACCUAAGUGUUGGCUCUGGCAGUGGUUCUCAAUCUUGGGUACACAUUAAAAUUACCUAGGAGAUAAAGAAACAAAUAUGGACGGCCAACCCCAGUGGCCUAGUGGUUAAGUUCAGCAUGCUCCACUUUGGUGGCCCUGGGUUCAGUUCCCUGGGUACAGACCUACACCAUGCGUUUGUCAGUAGCCAUGCUGUGGCAGCAGCUCACAUACAAAAAGAGGAAGAUUGGCAGCAGAUAUUAAUUCAGGGAAAAUCUUCCUCAGCAUAAAAAGAAAAAAAAAAAAAAGGAGGCCUGGAUCUUACUAGGCAUUAAUAUUUUAAAAAUCAUUCCAGGUGGGGGCUGGCCCCGUGGCUGAGUGGUUAAGUACUCGCGCUCCACUGCAGGCGGCCCAGUGUUUCGUCAGUUCAAAUUCUGGGCACGGACAUGGCACUGCUCAUCAAAUCAUGCUGAGGCAGCGUCCCACAUGCCACAACUAGAAGGACCCACAAUGAAGAAUAUACAGCUAUGUACCAGGGGGCUUUGGAGGGAAAAAGGAAAAAAAUUAAAAAAAAAAUAUCUCUCCAGGUGUAUGGCAGUUCCUCAAAAAAUUAAACAUAGAAUUACCAUAUAACCCAUCAAUUCCACUUCUGGGUAUAUACCCCAAAGAAUUUAAAGUAGGGACACAUAUGGAUGUUUAUAUAGUCAUGUUCAUAGCAGCAUUACUCUCAAUAGCCAAAAGGUGGGAGCAACCCAAGUAUCCAUGGAUGGGUAGAU